This 561-nucleotide ribosomal RNA is filed under the name uncultured bacterium. Its description in RNAcentral is "bacterial SSU rRNA". It matches the Rfam family "Bacterial small subunit ribosomal RNA", at positions 31 to 621 of the family's 1533-position model. The record is from RNAcentral.
UAACGCUGGCGGCGUGCCUAACACAUGCAAGUCGAACGCACUGGAGCAAUCCAGUGAGUGGCGGACGGGUGAGGAACACGUGGGUUAUCUACCUUGAGGUGAGGAAUACCGGCGAGAAAUCGCCGACAAUACCGCAUAGGUUUCGCAAGAAACAAAGCCCUGGCAACAGGGCGCCCCAAGAUGAGCCUGCGCCCGAUUAUGCUUCGUUGGUGGGGUAAAGGCCUACCAAGGCGACAAUCGGUAGCUGGUCUGAGAGGACGAUCAGCCACACUGGGAUUGAGAACGGCCCAGACUCCUACGGGGGGCAGCAGUGAGGAAUUUUCGUCAAUGGGGGCAACCCUGAACGAGCAACGCCGCGUGCAGGAAGAAGGUUUUCGGAUCGUAAACUGCUUUUCCUGGGGAAGAGAACGGACGGUACCCAGGGAAUAAGCCCCGGCUAACUACGUGCCAGCAGCCGCGGUAAUACGUAGGGGGCAAGCGUGGUCCGGAUUUAUUGGGCGUAAAGCGCACGCAGGCGGUCUUUUAAGUUUCGAGUGACAGGUGGUGGCUUAACUACCACAG